UACGUAGGGGGCAAGCGUUGUCCGGAAUUAUUGGGCGUAAAGAGCGCGUAGGCGGUCCGAUAAGUCGGCUGUGAAAGUCAGGGGCUCAACCCUUGGAAGCCGGCCGAUACUGUCGGACUAGAGUCCGGAAGAGGCGAGUGGAAUUCCCGGUGUAGCGGUGAAAUGCGCAGAUAUCGGGAGGAACACCAAUGGCGAAGGCAGCUCGCUGGGACGGUACUGACGCUGAGGAGCGAAAGCGUGGGGAGCGAACAGG
Molecule: ribosomal RNA, 253 nt
Filed under: uncultured bacterium
Lineage: Bacteria
Description: partial 16S ribosomal RNA
Rfam family: Bacterial small subunit ribosomal RNA
Source: RNAcentral